RNAcentral lists this ribosomal RNA (515 nucleotides) under uncultured bacterium. RNAcentral describes it as "partial 16S ribosomal RNA". It matches the Rfam family "Bacterial small subunit ribosomal RNA", at positions 28 to 523 of the family's 1533-position model. The record is from RNAcentral.
GACGAACGCUGGCGGCGUGCCUAAUACAUGCAAGCCGAGCGAGUGGAUUAAGAGCUUGCUCUUAUGAAGUUAGCGGCGGACGGGUGAGUAACACGUGGGUAACCUGCCCAUAAGACUGGGAUAACUCCGGGAAACCGGGGCUAAUACCGGAUAACAUUUUGAACCGCAUGGUUCGAAAUUGAAAGGCGGCUUCGGCUGUCACUUAUGGAUGGACCCGCGUCGCAUUAGCUAGUUGGUGAGGUAACGGCUCACCAAGGUAACGAUGCGUAGCCGACCUGAGAGGGUGAUCGGCCACACUGGGACUGAGACACGGCCCAGACUCCUACGGGAGGCAGCAGUAAGGAAUCUUCCGCAAUGGACGAAAGUCUGAUGGAGCAACGCCGCGUGAGUGAUGAAGGCUUUCGGGUCGUAAAACUCUGUUGUUAGGGAAGAACAAGUGCUAGUUGAAUAAGCUGGCACCUUGACGGUACCUAACCAGAAAGCCACGGCUAACUACGUGCCAGCCGCCGCAGUAA